This is a long non-coding RNA of Eucalyptus grandis, 642 nucleotides long. RefSeq lists it as uncharacterized. The record is from RefSeq and is a predicted model, not a curated record. Lineage: Eukaryota; Viridiplantae; Streptophyta; Magnoliopsida; Myrtales; Myrtaceae. The transcript is spliced from 2 exons.
GCCUGCUGUCACCGACGAAGCACAUUAAGGCUGCCCCCUGUGCAGCGGCGUGGGACGGUGAAGCUGAACGGGGCGGCAUUACCGAAAGGAAGUGAGGUAGAGGCCGAGGGGCGUGCAACCGCCCUCGACAAGAGCUUUGGGUUCUCGAAGUUUUUCAGGAGCAUGUACGGCUUGGGAAAGAGAGAUCCGAAGCAUGCGAUUAGCCCUUCAUGUUUCCAUCCGCGGAGAAGAUGCGGAGAUGCGAAGAGGGGCGCUGCGGGGGCGUCGGGGAGAGCGAGGUACGUGGAAGAUCAGCUGAGACUGGUGGGAUGUGUGUAUGAGUGCGGGGAUGACGGCGACGGCGACGACAACAAUGGGAAUGUCGGAUUUCUAGAGAGUCGUCGAAGUCCUCUCCUCGCUUGAGUUUAUCUUCUUUUUUUUGGUAUAAAAUCUCGCUUGAGUUUGACUGGUAGAUGGGAUUCGAUCUGUUUGACUGGUGGAUGGGAUUCGAUCUGGUGGGAUUUUCUUUCUUUCUUUUCUUUUUAGUUAUUUCGAUUUUGUUUCGUUCGGCCAUGAAUUUACUUAUGUACAUGACGAAAUGCCGAUUAACAGUGGGUAAUCACCAAAAAAAAAAAAAAAAAAGCGAGAUUGCCUUUCGAUCAA